Acanthosepion pharaonis is the source of this 113-nucleotide non-coding RNA. NCBI's taxonomy places the organism in Eukaryota, Metazoa, Mollusca, Cephalopoda, Sepiida, Sepiidae. The record is from the annotation of a GenBank genome assembly.
UUGCGGCUACAUCACGUUGACACACCGUUUUCCUACGAUCACCGAAGUCAAGCAACUUCCCGCUUGACCAGUACCUAGAUGGCUGAUCGCUUGGGAAUACCAGAUGCUGUAAG